CUAGUGUACAAUGCUGAAGCUGAGUUGUUCUUUCACAUCUAGAUUCUCCCCAGGACUCUCCUUUGUGCUGUUCUGCUGCUGCUGCUGCUUGUAUCGGUGCUGAGCAAGGGCAAGGCCAAGUGCAGCAUUGUGGAAAUCCUGCGGCAAUACCAAGCCGUGAUCUUUGAUGAGCUCCAGAACCUGAAAAACUUGACUCGAUCUGCUGAAACCCCAAGGAGGGGGAGAGCUGGCCCAGCCUGCCUCUCUAACAAGGAGCAGAAAAUCCUGCUGUCUAUCUCCACCAUGAGCAUGUCUCUCAGGGACAUGGUCAGAGGCUCCUGGAGGAAUCCUGAAGUAGUGGCUGUGAUGCAGGUGGUCAGCAACACAGAGUCAGUGACCAAACAGAACUGCAAGAAAAUCCACAAGGUUGGGGCUUCCUUUUCUCUUCUGCCACGCAGCUGGCAUGGUGCAAAAAAAUAGCAGCCAUUCGUUAAGAAGUUUAAGUGUUGUAANAAAUAGCAGCCAUUCGUUAAGAAGUUGAAGUGUUGUAACCUUGUUGGUCCCAGGAUAUUAGAGAGACAAGGUGGGUGAGGUAAUAUCUUUUAUGGGACUAACUUCUGGUGGUGAAAG
This 609-nucleotide long non-coding RNA is filed under the name Gopherus agassizii (Agassiz's desert tortoise). Its description in RNAcentral is "lncRNA (ENSGAGG00000008656.1)". Lineage: Eukaryota; Metazoa; Chordata; Testudines; Testudinidae. The record is from RNAcentral.